CACGUAGGGCGCAAGCGUUGUCCGGAAUUAUUGGGCGUAAAGAGCUCGUAGGCGGUCUGUUGCGUCCGCUGUGAAAACUCGGGGCUUAACCCCGAGCCUGCAGUGGAUACGGGCAGACUAGAGGUAGGUAGGGGAGAAUGGAAUUCCCGGUGUAGCGGUGAAAUGCGCAGAUAUCGGGAAGAACACCUAUGGCGAAGGCAGCUCUCUGGGACGGUACUGACGCUGAGACGCGAAAGCGUGGGGAGCGAACAGG
This 253-nucleotide ribosomal RNA is filed under the name uncultured bacterium. Its description in RNAcentral is "partial 16S ribosomal RNA". It matches the Rfam family "Bacterial small subunit ribosomal RNA", at positions 524 to 776 of the family's 1533-position model. The record is from RNAcentral.